RNAcentral lists this ribosomal RNA (433 nucleotides) under uncultured bacterium. RNAcentral's name for it is "partial 16S ribosomal RNA". It matches the Rfam family "Bacterial small subunit ribosomal RNA", at positions 29 to 507 of the family's 1533-position model. The record is from RNAcentral.
AAUGAACGCUGGCGGCAGGCCUAACACAUGCAAGUCGAGCGAAAUCUCCGUACUUAGCGGCGGACGGGGGAGUAACGCGUGGGAACAUGCCCGUUGGUGCGGAAUAGUCCCGGGAAACUGGGAGUAAUGCCGCAUGUGUCAUGCGGGGGAAAGAUUUAUCGCACAAGUAUAGGCCCGCGUUGGUUUAGGUGGGUGGGGGGGUAAUGGCCUACCAAGCCGUCGAUCGAUAGCGGGGUAGAGAGGAUGAGCAGCCACACUGGGACUGGGACACGGCGCAGACUCCUACGGGAGGCAGCCGUGGGUAAUCUUGGACUAUCGGCUCAAGCCUGAACUCGCCAUGCCGCGUGAGCGAUGAAGUCGUUAGAGUUGUAAAGAUCUUUAAGAGGGCAAGAUAAUGACGGUACCCACAGAAGAAGCCCCGGCUAACUCCGUG